Molecule: long non-coding RNA, 256 nt
Organism: Gadus macrocephalus (Pacific cod)
Lineage: Eukaryota; Metazoa; Chordata; Actinopteri; Gadiformes; Gadidae
Exons: 2
Source: RefSeq, a predicted model, not a curated record
CACUGUAAUACUGUCAGAGGUACUGCUUUACGGCAGUUUCUAAAGCACUUCCCUUUUCCCGCAACGAUAACACCAGCUGUUGGAGUCGGACCUUGAUGCUGUGACAACGGACAAGUCUUCUUCCUCUGUCCUUUUCCCCUGCCUCUGUUCAGUAUGUUCAGUGUUGUUAAAUCAUUUCUCUUUUUUUUUAUUAGUUACUGUUCUUAUUGUGUUCUUGUUAGUGUGAUGUUUGAAUAAACUUGCCUGUUGCAAUGUU